Non-coding RNA from Hyaena hyaena (striped hyena), 68 nucleotides. The record is from the annotation of a RefSeq genome assembly. Lineage: Eukaryota; Metazoa; Chordata; Mammalia; Carnivora; Hyaenidae.
CAAGAUGUAGCUUAAAUAAAGCAUCUGGCCUACGCCCAGAAGAUUUCAUGUUAAACUGACCAUCUUGA